This 21-nucleotide non-coding RNA is filed under the name Caenorhabditis elegans. Lineage: Eukaryota; Metazoa; Nematoda; Chromadorea; Rhabditida; Rhabditidae. The record is from RNAcentral.
UAUUUGAUCUACUUCCAAAAG